Molecule: RNA transcript, 2956 nt
Organism: Nomia melanderi (Alkali bee)
Lineage: Eukaryota; Metazoa; Arthropoda; Insecta; Hymenoptera; Halictidae
Gene: CRIF
Gene name: growth arrest and DNA damage-inducible proteins-interacting protein CRIF
Source: RefSeq, a predicted model, not a curated record
UACCCAUUUUUGUUUAUUCGAUUGUAAUUGUAUAAAUAAAUUCUUCCAAGUAAUUUAUGACAAUAUUUUAUUACCACUCAUAAUAUUUAAGCAUUAACGUAGAGUACCAUUCAUAAUAAUACCAUGUGAUUGUAAUAAUAUAAGUACUGUUCGGCAACUUAAGCUGCACAGAUCAAAGAGGAUAAUUUACAUCAAUAUUAAAAUUUUCGAAUAUACAAUUUAUAAAAAAUUCUUUUUGUGAUUUACUUACUGGAUGUAUUUUUUAAUGAAAAGAUUCACAAACAAAUACUACGUGAGAAUAAAACACAACUACUGAGGAAGUAUAAGUUGAAGGCAACAGUGUAUUAUAACCUUGCUUUAAAUUUUUAGUUAUAUAUUCGUUUACAGACUGAACAUAGUAAGAUUUACAGUGUAGCCUUUAUCGUAUAUUUCGUUAACCAUUAUAACAACCGUUAAUUAAUUAAAUAAACCAAGUAAACAUAUUGUGUGUUAAUGGAAAAUAUAUUGUUUAAUAAUACAUUAUCAAAUUAACAAUAUCUUUGCAUUAUAGAGUAAGUAAUAAAAUACAAGAAGUUAUUUAUAUAUACAAAAUGUCUCUAAGAAACUUAGUUGCUAAAAUGCAACUAACAGUAAAAUUUCAACAUAUCAAUGGGAGAAGGUACUUAGCAUCAAAAGCCAUAAGUAAUGUUCUUGAUUCGGUUGAAGAAGAACCAUUAUACGCGAAGAAUGACUCAGAAGACAUAGAACAAAAAAGAAAUAAAUCUAGAUUGAACCCUGGCCACAGAAAUAUAUUACAUGGUAGAAAACCUUACGAUGAACCAUUAACUUGGUUUCAUAAUACACUGAAAUAUAAAAGGAAAAUAUUGGGUAAAUAUGGCAUAGAGGCAUUAGGAGUAUCUGCAGGAUUGGCUUGGCCCACUCCCAAAGAAUUAGACGAUGCUGUAGAAUAUGAAAGAGUUGCGUUUCCAAUGACUCUCCAAGAAAGAUGGCAGAAGAUCAAAGAAGAAAAGAAGAAGAAAGAAGAUGAGAUAAUAGCUAGGCAAGAUUAUAUCGCAGCUAAAAUGUCUACCAUGAAUGAUUUAAUAACUUCGGUACAAGAAAAAAUUGCUAAGAAAGAAGCAGAAGCAGAAGCCGCUAGAAAGAGAAAGGAGAUUCGAUUAAUAGAAAUCAGGAAAAAAUUAAUGGCUAAGGGUGCCAUGACUCAAGAAAACGUAGAAGAAAUGUUUUUAAAAUAUGAGAAGGAAGAUAAGAAGAAAAGGAAAGAAGCCAAGAAACAACGAUAUAUUGAAAGGGAAUAUAUUAUGAAAUCUAAGGCGGCAGAGGCUAAGGAAAAAAAUGCAGUGGAAACCAGGGAAGGGUCACCAGCAACUGAAAAAUCUAUGGAAUAAAUAUUUUAUUCUAAGCGUAUUGUAUUUGAAAGGAAGUUUUAUAAAUUUCAUGUAAAUCUCGCGGCAGCAUCAUUAUCAAAGAAGUCAACUCUUGACCAUUAACGAUGUGUCAGAGUUCUCGACAUCAUCUGGAACUAUCAAUGACGAUUUUCCAUUGGUUUGAACGUCCCGAGGUCCAUUUUCUUCAGUGGCACUAUGAACAUCGCGACCGUCAGUAAUCUCCGCCUGAUCGCAACUUUGAAUAUUUUGUACGUGCAAUUCAUCAAUGACUAUUAAACGCAAUUUGUUUUUCUCCAUGUGUCAAGUGGACUGAAGUUGUGACGGAGAGGACAAUUCAUAAAAUUGAAAGUUUAAUUCUUCUCCAAAGAGAUUUUCUGGCGUAAUGAUUUCUGGUUCAACCAUAUUUAAGCCUAAGGUCGUUGGAUUGAGAUCGGUGACUAGAUAUCCUUCACUUAUGAGUCCACAUUCCUCUGCUAACACCUCUUUAGAAACUGGAUUAAGGAAAUCUAUAAAGAUAAUGAAGCUCCUGCGUCUGUUGAUUGGUUUGCGUCGAAUCGUGUUCAUUGUUGGACAUCAUCAUAGGAAUUAAAUACUGUACUUCUACUUCCUUCUUGAUACCACUGAGUAUUUGUUCCGCGCAGUGUUCUAAUGUCACAGAACUGACCAUGUUCUCUGCCUCUUCCCCUGAAGUAGGUUGAGUGAUGCUAGCAGUAGCUGCUUCCACUUCGUCAAUAGGAUUUAUAUGACUAAAAGGAAUUUCAAUAAAUGAUGCUGCUACGAUUACUCUAUACUAGGCUUGUCCAACCAACGAUCCACGGACAAUAAGUUACCCAAGACAGUUGUAAAUGUAGCCCAACAAAAAAUCAUAAGCUUGCAAACUUUAUGGGAUUGCGACUAAAAGACUCUCACUUGUGAUCACAAUUUCAGACCAAAGAUGAAUGACACGAGUGAGACUCAAAGUCACAAUACGAGUGAGAUAUCGGUUGCUAUAAUUAAAUUAUCUAAAAUUAAAUAAUUAAGUAUUCUAUUAAUUUAUGUGUGGCUCUUAACAAUCUGUCUUCUCCCAACAAGACGCAGAGAAGCUGAAGGUUGGACACCUCUGUUCUAUACACUAUAAUUAAGUGUGAUAAACACCUAAUGCUUCUUUGAGAAUUUUCAAUCUCAGGCAACUUGGUACUUUGCUUCAUAGAGGAAUUGGUAAUUUGUUUAGGUUUGGAGUCUAUAGAUCGAUUCGCAAUGGCCCACAAGUGACCAGCCCCGUGUGGUGCUUUUGAUCCUUUUCGAAAAUGAGGGUUUAUGGACAGAUUGUGCCGCACAGAGUUCUUCCAACGAUCGUCAUUGCUCUUGUAAUAAGGAAAAUGUUCACUGAAAAAGGAAAAGUAUUACGCAUUAGGAAAGUAAAUGGUGUUAUUGUAUAAGAAGUCACUGUAACACAUUUUAUAUAACUAUAUUUAAAUAAUUUACAAAGACAUGGUAACACUAUAAUCUAAUGAAGUGUGCUAUUUCUAGAGAAAUAUCUUAUCUAUGUACCCUUUAAGCGUUUUGCAUAAUGAUGAAUGAUUAAGUAA